Molecule: RNase P RNA, 339 nt
Filed under: Anaeroplasmataceae bacterium
Lineage: Bacteria; Bacillati; Mycoplasmatota; Mollicutes; Anaeroplasmatales; Anaeroplasmataceae
Description: RNase P RNA component class B
Rfam family: Bacterial RNase P class B
About the family: Ribonuclease P (RNase P) is a ubiquitous endoribonuclease, found in archaea, bacteria and eukarya as well as chloroplasts and mitochondria.
Source: RNAcentral
GUAGUUGGGUAACUGAGCCAAUUGGUUAGGAAAGUCCAUGCUAGCACAAUCUGAGAUGAUUGUAGUGUUUGUGCUUAGCCAAAAAAUAAGCUAAGGCAUAGAGAUAUGACGGCGGAAGAAGCCUAAGUCCUUAUGGAUAUGGUGUAUUUCCAUAACGUGCCACAGAGACGAGUUCUAUAGAAAUAUAGAAAUGAAACGUUGGUAAACCCCUCAAGCUAGAAACCCAAAUUUUGGUAGGGGAGCUCUAGGAGGCAAAAUGAAGCUAUUCUAGGGGCAAAGAAAUUUGCAGAUAAAUAGUUACCACCUAAUUCUAUUAGGUACAGAACAUGGCUUAUAGAC